UACAGAGGUCUCAAGCGUUGUUCGGAAUCACUGGGCGUAAAGGGCGCGUAGGUGGCGCUGCAAGUCGGUGGUGAAAGCUCGUCGCUUAACGGCGAGUCGGCCAUCGAAACUGCAGGGCUCGAGCACUGUAGGGGCUAAUGGAAUUCCGGGUGUAGCGGUGGAAUGCGUAGAGAUCCGGAAGAACACCAGUGGCGAAGGCGGUUAGCUGGGCAGUUGCUGACACUGAUGCGCGACAGCGUGGGGAGCAAACAGG
RNAcentral lists this ribosomal RNA (253 nucleotides) under uncultured bacterium. RNAcentral describes it as "partial 16S ribosomal RNA". It matches the Rfam family "Bacterial small subunit ribosomal RNA", at positions 524 to 776 of the family's 1533-position model. The record is from RNAcentral.